GUUUUAAUAAUUUAACAUAAAAUAUUGGUCUUGUAAAUCAAAAAUAAGACUAUGUCUUUUAAAAUU
RNAcentral lists this transfer RNA (66 nucleotides) under Oxypoda opaca. RNAcentral describes it as "tRNA-Thr". The record is from RNAcentral. Lineage: Eukaryota; Metazoa; Arthropoda; Insecta; Coleoptera; Staphylinidae.